RNAcentral lists this ribosomal RNA (492 nucleotides) under uncultured bacterium. RNAcentral's name for it is "partial 16S ribosomal RNA". It matches the Rfam family "Bacterial small subunit ribosomal RNA", at positions 29 to 507 of the family's 1533-position model. The record is from RNAcentral.
AGUGAACGCUGGCGGUAGGCCUAACACAUGCAAGUCGAACGGCAGCACAGUAAGAGCUUGCUCUUACGGGUGGCGAGUGGCGGACGGGUGAGGAAUACAUCGGAAUCUACUUUUUCGUGGGGGAUAACGUAGGGAAACUUACGCUAAUACCGCAUACGACCUACGGGUGAAAGCAGGGGAUCUUCGGACCUUGCGCGAUUGUAUGAGCCGAUGUCGGAUUAGCUAGUUGGCGGGGUAAAGGCCAACCAAGGCGACGAUCCGUAGCUGGUCUGAGAGGAUGAUCAGCCACCCUGGAAGUGAGACACGGUCCAGACUCCUACGGGAGGCAGCAGUGGGGAAUAUUGGACAAUGGGCGCAAGCCUGAUCCAGCCAGACCGCGUGGGUGAAGAAGGCCUUCGGGUUGUAAAGCCCUUUUGUUGGGAAAGAAAAGCAGCAGGUUAAUACCCCGCUGUUCUGACGGUACCCAAAGAAUAAGCACCGGCUAACUUCGUG